Molecule: ribosomal RNA, 253 nt
Filed under: uncultured bacterium
Lineage: Bacteria
Description: partial 16S ribosomal RNA
Rfam family: Bacterial small subunit ribosomal RNA
Source: RNAcentral
GACGGGGGAUGCAAGCGUUAUCCGGAAUCACUGGGCGUAAAGCGUCUGUAGGUGGUGAUGCAAGUCACUGGUGCAAAACUCUGGCUCAACCGGAGGAAAGCCAGUGAAACUGCAUGACUAGAGUGUGGGAGAGGUAGAAGGAAUUCCCUGAGUAGCGGUGAAAUGCGUAGAUACAGGGAAGAACACCGGAGGCGAAAGCUUUCUACUGGAACACAACUGACACUGAGAGACGAAAUCUAGGUGAGCGAAUGGU